This 253-nucleotide ribosomal RNA is filed under the name uncultured bacterium. RNAcentral's name for it is "partial 16S ribosomal RNA". It matches the Rfam family "Bacterial small subunit ribosomal RNA", at positions 524 to 776 of the family's 1533-position model. The record is from RNAcentral.
UACGUAGGGGGCAAGCGUUGUCCGGAUUUAUUGGGCGUAAAGAGCGUGUCGGCGGUUUGGUAGGUCCGCUGUGAAAACUCGAGGCUCAACCUCGAGACGCCGGUGGAAACCAUCAGACUAGAGUCCGGAAGAGGAGAGUGGAAUUCCUGGUGUAGCGGUGAAAUGCGCAGAUAUCAGGAAGAACACCCGUGGCUAAGGCGGCUCUCUAGUACGGUACUGACGCUGAGACGCGAAAGCGUGGGGAGCGAACAGG